GUCUGUGGCCAUACCACCCUGAACAAGCCCAAUCCCGUCUGAUCUCAGAAGUUAAGCAGGGUGGGGCCUGGUUAGUACUUGGGUGGGAGAUCACCUAGGAAGACCAAGUGCUGUAGGCA
Molecule: ribosomal RNA, 119 nt
Filed under: Pteropus alecto (black flying fox)
Lineage: Eukaryota; Metazoa; Chordata; Mammalia; Chiroptera; Pteropodidae
Source: RNAcentral